CGGGUGAAAAGCCCGCUCGCCGGAAGACCAAGGGUUCCUGUCCAACGUUAAUCGGGGCAGGGUGAGUCGACCCCUAAGGCGAGGCCGAAAGGCGUAGUCGAUGGGAAACAGGUUAAUAUUCCUGUACUUGGUGUUACUGCGAAGGGGGGACGGAGAAGGCUAUGUUGGCCGGGCGACGGUUGUCCCGGUUUAAGCGUGUAGGCUGGUUUUCCAGGCAAAUCCGGAAAAUCAAGGCUGAGGCGUGAUGACGAGGCACUACGGUGCUGAAGCAACAAAUGCCCUGCUUCCAGGAAAAGCCUCUAAGCAUCAGGUAACAUCAAAUCGUACCCCAAACCGACACAGGUGGUCAGGUAGAGAAUACCAAGGCGCUUGAGAGAACUCGGGUGAAGGAACUAGGCAAAAUGGUGCCGUAACU
RNAcentral lists this ribosomal RNA (415 nucleotides) under Escherichia coli. Its description in RNAcentral is "partial 23S ribosomal RNA". It matches the Rfam family "Bacterial large subunit ribosomal RNA", at positions 1318 to 1735 of the family's 2925-position model. The record is from RNAcentral. Lineage: Bacteria; Pseudomonadati; Pseudomonadota; Gammaproteobacteria; Enterobacterales; Enterobacteriaceae.